CUUUAGCAUGACACGAUGCCUGGCACCCGCUCACUGGAAACGGUGUCAAAGGCUUUGCGUCGCCGCGCGCAGUUGCAGCGGUGGCAGCGGCAGUCACAAAUGGCGCGUGCGUCAGGCGCGGCAGCGGCUGUGGGAGCCGCAAGCUGCACGCAGGCGGAUCGCGCGUUACGUCCGCACUACCAGGUGACAUCAGCGUCGCCGUUGGACACGUCGACAAGCUGGUCUUCUGCGCUGGCAUCGAGUCGGGAGAACGCGGAAGUAGGUAUGGGUAAAACCCUUCAGCAUGCGUAUCAGAUGCGGGAUAGAGCCCGGUCGUCUCCGCCGCUGCAGCGUCGCCUCGCCGAGUAUCUGCGCUGCUCCACGAGCAAGGCGGAGGCAGCGGAGGCGUUUUUCCUCGUCGCUCGCUCGCAUCACGAGGCGCUGACGCCAGCUACCAUUUCCGAGUUCACCAGCACAAUGUUGCGGCACCACGUAGCUGCGCAGAUGGGCGCAAAGACCUACACGGUGGCGCUCGCGGACGCCGUCGGAGUCGCAGGCGAAAGCCCAUGGAACAACGUGGAGCCGGCAGAGGCGCGGGCCUUCGCUCUCUAUCAGGCGCGCCGCCUUGAGCGGUACUCUGUGAGGGGCACGUCCUUUCAGGAGCAGCUCGGUUUGACGCUGGAGGGCGCAGACAACACAGUUGUCGCCCUCACGGAACACCAGAUGCGCAAAGGUGCCGCCGUGGCGAGUGCGCUGCCCGUGUCGUGCGACGCCCUUGUCGAGCUCGUUCACCUCGACGUGUCGUGGUCCACCGCGCUGCAGGUGCACACGUACGCAAAGGAGGUGACACGCGUCGACCCACCUGCUGACAUGACGGCACGUUUGAUGGGGCUCAUGACCGGGUACAAGACGAACGCCCUUGGCUCGCGCCCGUGGGAGAUGGCGCUGGAGUUGUACGACAGACUGCUGGAAAGCGGCUACGAUGUACCGCUGGAUGCCCACACAGCCGCCUUAGACGCCGUUUGGCGCAGUGGGGAGAGUUUUGUGAAACCGCACAACUCCUUGUCCCCCACCGAUCGCGAUUGCAUGUGGAAUGCCCUGGUGCGCAUCCGUGAGCGUGUGCCAGACGCGCAGGUGAUGGGCGACGCCGGGUGCCGCUUCACCGAGGCUCUCAUCAAGGCAGCUGGAGCAGCAGGGCGGUGGGAGGCGGCCUUGCAACUUCUCAGUGACAUGGACGUCACAUUGGCCGCCACUUCGCAUCGUCUGUUGGUGCCGACCGCCGAAUCCUUUCUGUUUGCGAUGGCAUCGUGCAACGCCGCGCACAACGCGGCCCAUGCCAGCGCCCUGUAUGAGACCUUCAGUGCGUUGUACACGUUGCGCAGUGCUCACCCUGAGGCGCUGCUGGCGUACUUGCAGUCGCUUCGAAAUGUGGAGCACCUGUCGGCCCAUAUCGGGACGCAAGUGGAGGGGCUUGUGAUGGAUGGCAAAGGACUGGAUCGGCCGUGCUGCGUGGUGUGCCUGCAGCUCCUGUCGAGCCAGCGCGUGCACACGAAGCAGGCGGCGAAGUGGAGGAUCGCACAGAGACUGCUGCGGAUGUACGACAGCAACCCGUGGCCGCAGCAGCCGCCGGUGAGAAAGGCAGAGCUGCAGACAGUGUUUCGCUGCUGUCACCUCAUCGCGGCAAGCAGCGUAAGCGACGCGAAAGUGUCCGCUUCUGCGUCGGCUCCCUGUUCGCUGGUCACCGAGUUGCGCGCGUACCUGGUCUCUGUGUUUGGGCGCGACUCCUGCGAGUGCCAGUGGCUUGACGAUACCGAGGUUUACUCACUUCUCACCACACAGAGCUGGGAGUGCGCCCUUUCCAUUUACCAGCGGCAGGUGACGCAGCGCCCGCCAGCUCGCGUGACGGACCUCCCCAUCCCGCUGCGCCAGGUGCGCCACAUGUUCGCGCAGACGCUGCUACGCUGCUCCCGCGCUGCAACUGGCGAGGAGGGGGAGAGUGACAAAUUCCUCCUGGAUGAGGAGCGGGAGGCACAGGAGCGGGCGAGGACGAUUGACUUUUUGGCAUUCGCCGUGCGCACCGUCCGGGAGGUGUACGCGGGCACGGGUGACACAGUAUCCCUCGGUAUCGUCGCGGAGCUGCUGCUCCACCAAGCGUUGCACGCACCGCGUGCACGCGAGCGGCAGCAGUUGGCACUGGACGCGAUGCGAGAGCUGUCGUGUGGCUUGGCCAGCGCCGUGACCCCGCGGCUGAUCGACCUCGUCGCGCAGGCCCUCUCCCUCACGGAGGAGCAUGUCCAGAGCGUCCUCGUUGACGGCAGUGCGCAGCUGCGUGCAAAGGCGUUGGAGCGGGAUGGACAUCGACGCAUACGCUCGAGUGGCUGCCUCGAGACGAUUUUCACAUGAUAAUGUACCAUGGGUGCGGCGUGCUCGAGCGGGGCUGCUGUUACGCAUAGAGGCAAGGGCAGCAAAUGCGCAGGGGUGCAUGUGCGUGUGCGCGCACAUGUGCUUGCGUGUGUGUGUGGGGGGGGCGCAGGGGCUCUUCUCUUUCCUUCUCGUGUGUGCCCGUUGCUCUGGGCGGCUCGUGCGGCCGUUUACCCCGGCUCACAUUUGCUUUGCCGGCUUUGCGUUCUUCCCGUUUUGGUAGUCGACAAACUGCAGAGGAGCACGCCAGUGGCGACGUUCCAUCGUCGCACAUCUCGCUUCCAUCGCUUCCUGCUUCGCUGCUGUUGGUAACGGCACGCAGACGUGACUUCUCUCACAUCCUGAGGUUUUGUUCACUUCCUUUGCUCCUUCCGAUCCCAGUCCCCGCUGUGCCCCCCAUCGCCGUGAUGGAGCAGCGGAUACAUCCCUCUGAGCUGUUCGCAGAGCCGGAAAACGCUAGCCAUCGUUCAACAUCAUUUGUGAGCUAUGUGUGCUGCCGCAGGAGGCGCAGUUGCUAGGCAGACACUGGCUUCUGGCGUCCCCGGCAGACUUCGUCGGCACCCAGCCGCUUAUUCUGUGUGUCUCUGCCGACCUCUCGCUGCGCGGUUUUUGCGUUUUCUCGAGAGCUGCAGCGCGCAGCGGCGACACAGGCGACGCAUGCAGGUGCCGAAACGCUUCAGAUGCAGCUGGAGGAUGUGAGCCGGCGCGGCGGUGACGGUGGCACUGCUGCGUGCGCAGGGAAGGCAACCGGUGUAAAACGGCGACCGCGACGGCGGCUUCUUUCUGCACCUUUGUGCUUCACAGGUGCCAUCUAAUGGCUCUCACGAGAUGCUGCGUGCUCUUGCGAGCAGCGGAGCAGACCUGGCAGCAGCAGCUUCUCGUGAGACCACCACACAGCAGAUGCUGCGGGACAGUGGCGUCGUGGCCGGCGCGUGUGAAUCAAUGUCGGAAGUUGCACAAUACCACUGAACCGGUUGCUCCAGCGGCAUGAAGCAGUUGGUGAGAGGCUGUCGAAGUGCGCGUGCAUGCGUCUGCGUUGGCGUGCUUUCGUGCCCCCCCCCCACCACCACCGAGGAGCCGUGGGCUCGGCUUUUUGCCUCUCUUCUCUGCACUCUCGCAUGGCUCUUGCGCACCACACGCAAGCCCAACCCCGUCGGGUGUGGUGCGCGCCACUGAACGAGCGCGGCGGCGAGACACACACACGCGCGCACAUCAAAUGAAAGCAAAGCUGAUUAUGCAAAAGAAUGGAGAAGGGAACGUAAACGGCGCGUGCGCGCCUCAUCCUCCUCUUCUCUUCCGCUUCACCCGCCGCCUUACCUCCAUGCGUGAUACCGUGUCUUGCCCCUCUCUCCCCGUCCUCUGUGCCUCGCCCGCCACCGCCUCUUCCCUCCUCUGCGAACUCCGCGUCUCCUGCCUUGCUGCUCCACUUCUCACCGACACAUCAUGCCUCCCUUUUCGUCUUGCCGCUGGCGCCCUGCUCUCCAUCGCCACCUUCACACGGAUGCGUCCAUACAG
This 3915-nucleotide unclassified non-coding RNA is filed under the name Leishmania donovani. RNAcentral describes it as "gene:LdHU3.26.3320(CDS-product:hypothetical_prote in_conserved)". The record is from RNAcentral. Lineage: Eukaryota; Euglenozoa; Kinetoplastea; Trypanosomatida; Trypanosomatidae.